Molecule: ribosomal RNA, 585 nt
Filed under: uncultured bacterium
Lineage: Bacteria
Description: bacterial SSU rRNA
Rfam family: Bacterial small subunit ribosomal RNA
Source: RNAcentral
UACUCCUACGGGAGGCAGCAGUGAGGAAUAUUGGUCAAUGGGCGAGAGCCUGAACCAGCCAAGUAGCGUGCAGGAUGACGGCCCUAUGGGUUGUAAACUGCUUUUAUGUGGGGAUAAAGUGAGCUACGUGUAGUUUAUUGCAGGUACCACAUGAAUAAGGACCGGCUAAUUCCGUGCCAGCAGCCGCGGUAAUACGGAAGGUCCAGGCGUUAUCCGGAUUUAUUGGGUUUAAAGGGAGCGUAGGCCGUGGAUUAAGCGUGUUGUGAAAUGUAGACGCUCAACGUCUGAAUUGCAGCGCGAACUGGUUCACUUGAGUAUGCACAACGUAGGCGGAAUUCGUCGUGUAGCGGUGAAAUGCUUAGAUAUGACGAAGAACUCCGAUUGCGAAGGCAGCUUACGGGAGCACAACUGACGCUGAAGCUCGAAGGUGCGGGUAUCAAACAGGAUUAGAUACCCUGGUAGUCCGCACAGUAAACGAUGGAUGCCCGUUGUUAGUUCACUUAAGAAUUAGCGACCAAGCGAAAGCAUUAAGCAUCCCACCUGGGGAGUACGCCGGCAACGGUGAAACUCAAAGGAAUUGACGGA